This 336-nucleotide ribosomal RNA is filed under the name uncultured soil bacterium. RNAcentral's name for it is "bacterial SSU rRNA". It matches the Rfam family "Bacterial small subunit ribosomal RNA", at positions 26 to 363 of the family's 1533-position model. The record is from RNAcentral.
AGAUUGAACGCUGGCGGCAGGCCUAACACAUGCAAGUCGAGCGGUAGAGAGGUGCUUGCAUCUCUUGAGAGCGGCGGACGGGUGAGUAAUGCCUAGGAAUCUGCCUAGUGGUGGGGGAUAACGUUCGGAAACGGACGCUAAUACCGCAUACGUCCUACGGGAGAAAGCGGGGGACCUUCGGGCCUCGCGCCAUUAGAUGAGCCUAGGUCGGAUUAGCUAGUUGGUGAGGUAAUGGCUCACCAAGGCGACGAUCCGUAACUGGUCUGAGAGGAUGAUCAGUCACACUGGAACUGAGACACGGUCCAGACUCCGUACGGGAGCAGCAGGUGGGGAAUA